RNAcentral lists this long non-coding RNA (2048 nucleotides) under Canis lupus familiaris (dog). Its description in RNAcentral is "lncRNA (ENSCAFG00845012619.1)". The record is from RNAcentral. Lineage: Eukaryota; Metazoa; Chordata; Mammalia; Carnivora; Canidae.
GCGAGUGGCGCUUCCUGGGCUCUGACGCUCAGCCGCGGGCCCAGCCCCGGUCGGGGCACAGGGAGUCAGGGCGUCCUGGUCUCUCACCUCUCAGGCAGACGGGGCACGCAUCGCCCCCCCACACUGCGUCAGCGCGCAGGCAGAGGGUACCCAGGGAGCACCCCACAGACGCAAUUUCCCGGGGAACGUGCCCCUGCCCUGGCCUGUGCAUGGCUGGGAGUCCCCGGGGGCUCGAGUGGGCAGGUGCUGGGGCCAGAGCUGGGCCGCGGGAGGCACCGUGGGUUCUGCACAGCUGCUGGCCCUGCCUGGCGAGGGGGCGCCUCAGAGAGGCUGCAACUGAAAGGGCGCUUCAGGCCUGCGGUGGCCAGACAGUUGCUGAGUCCAGAUGAAGAGCUGCAGGUGCGGGGGAAAGAGGACACGGGGCCAGCCCAGGUCCCUGGGCUGCAGACGGGAGGGUGUGGGGGACAGCCCUGCUCCCCAAUCUGCCCUUGCCCCACCUUGGGCCCCACCCCUGCUUGGACUCAGUGCCCUCGGGGCCGGUGGGGAGAGGGCCAGCGCGGCACUGGGGGCCCCACUUUGCCUUCUCGAGGGGAGGGAAGUGAACAGUCUCAGGCGGAUCCGCACAGUCAUCUGGCUUCCUGCUGGGACCCCGGGCCUGGCGCUAACGCCCAUUGUGCUUGAAGGUGGAUGGUGAGCAGCUGGGCACCGGAGGGCCUGACCCAUGCCUGGAGGCGGUUCCCACACCAUGGCCCUGGUGUUCAUGGUGAAGGGAACAGCAACUGGGGUGACUCCCCGGCCCCUCCUGGCCAUUUGGGGCACCGGUGUCAUGCUGCUUGCUCCUGCUGGCCUGAGCGGCCCUGCUUGUCGAGGAUACCUGUGUAAGCCCAUCACAGGGUCAGGGGCGCCGGGCUUCUGGGGCCCAGGGCCUGAGGCAUUUCCAAGAGAUGGGCAGUGACCCCAACCAGGAGGAGGUUGGACAGGAAGGGCCAUGUGCUGGGGCCGGUGAGGGCCUGAGAGGGGUGCUGCAAGCCUGCAGGCACAGGGCCAUGUCGGGGCCUGGAAGUGGGCUAAGCAGGAGUCCCUGCAGGCCUCCUGAGGAGGAUCACCCUCUGCCCAGAGAGCGUGGGUGGCAUCUUUCAGACACCUUGUGCUUAGACGCCUGGUGAAGCAGAAGGAGGUCUGGAGGGUCAGUGCUCUCCUGUCAGAGGGAAGAAACUUUGUGCAGGCCCAAGUAAAUUCCCCGUGUCCUGCUGGCUAGCUUUGUUUCUUUGCUUGCCCGUCACUUAGACAGCUCCUGUGCCCCUGCAGGGCUCAGGUGCUGAGCACAAUAUGCAGACAAACAAACAGCAGGGUGUGGGGUACCUUUGUAGCCCCUCUUCUUCACCUUCUUCAUUCCUUAAAUACGCCAGCUGGUUCUAGCCACAGGGCCUUUGCAGAGUGGCUGUUUCUGCCUGCAAUGCCCUUUCCCCUUAUCCCUUCUCCUUCACUCAGAUCUGAACUGAAACGUCACCUCCUCAGAGAGGCCCUUCCUGAGUACUCACUCUAAAGUUGCCACCCUGUCACUAUCUAACAAAUCAUUUUGUUUUAAAUCUACAUAGAACAAAUAUGACUACUCAAUGGUUUCUGAUUUGUUUCUUGUUGGUCUUGGGUGUAAGCCCUGCAAAGGCAGCAACCUUGUCCACCUCAUUCUUUGGUGUGACCCAGUGUCUGGGCGGAGCCAGGCACAAAGCUGGCACAUGGUGGCCACGUGAACAAGGCCAGUAGUCACCAAGGAGCAGAGCACAGUGGUUAAAGCACCAGCUAUGAAGUCAGGAAGAUCUGGAUGACAAUAUUGUUUGGAUGACACAGACUAGCUGUCUCACCUGAGCCCUCCUACAGACUCCUUCUGUGCCUCAGUUUCCUUGUUUGUAAAAGGAGAUUAAUGAUAGCCCAUUUCUUUCUUUCUUUCUUUUUUUUUUUUUUUUUGAUAAUCCAUUUCUUGACAAGUUACUAUGAGGUUUGUAUGAAGUUGUGGGUAGAGAAAAUUUAAAGUUUCUAGCAUGCAGUGG